GGGUAGUUAAGUGUUGGAACUUUCUGCUCUCUGGAGAAUCCUUUCUGAACUGUGUUCAUUUUCCAGGAGAAAGUUCACAACCUCAGAGUCACCUUUUCUGCAGAAUGUGAGACAAGAAAAAAAAUGUCAUGAAAGGGUGAUCUACAGUGUCAAAUGCUGCAGAAAGGAAUACGCAGGAUAUCCUGGAAUUCCCAGAGAGAUGUCUGGUUUGUGGUUAACUAUCAUGGACCUUACUAUUUUGUGGAAGAAACACACUUAACCAGGGGGAAGGAUCCCCUAAAAGAGAAGAGUCUGAUCUUCUAAGGAAAGGAUCAGUACUAAGACGAAAUCGUCCCCCUUUAGAAAUUUGCAACUAUCAAAUAGGAUUGACCACCAAAAUUGUUGUAGAGCAAAGCAAUAAAUGACAUGGCAGGACCAUUAAAAUGCAUGAUUUUACAGUGUGUCAGGAAAGCUGUUCCUUGGAGCCUGGAUUCAUUAAGGCGCUCCUUGCAUAAAUGAGUUGCCAACCGGGGAUGUGGGUGGCUGUAAUGGCAGCAUGUAGGUUUGUAUGGAAAACAAGUAUGGCACUGUGAAAAAUUCUUUUGUCACACUCCACCCCCCCCCCCCACUAGAUACCUGUAUGGAGGGUUUGGGAGGAAUUAUCAUACAGCCUUUUUUUUCCCCCCAAGUGAAUAAAACUAAAACAUCCUUUGGAAGCAAAGGUGAGUUUGAAAAUCCACUCAAAGAAGAUGGAAAGAGGGAGGAAUGAAAUCACCUCAAGUGUAUGCAGCCUAACCAAGUGACAGACACGUAGACAACUCUGAUGCUGCCAGAAUUAACACUAUGUGCAGCCCACCAGUAAGCUAUUUGUCACUGCUACAAGAAUAUUCUCCACAACUUGGCAUCAGGGCCCCUGGGUAGCCAACUGUGCCUGCACAGCACAAGAAGUGCUAUCCUCUAAUGGGCUAGGAACGAAGCAAGGUUUUCCUUAUUAUUUCAAAAUGUGUUAUUGUAUGAAAAACAUAGUUUUUUGUCAUGAUAAACACAGGAAGAUACAGGGAAUUAGGUAUGGUUAAAAAAAACUGAGGGAGGGGGGAUGUGAGGAAAUGGGGAAAAUGUGCCUCUGAAGGUUGCUUCUUUCUUUCUUUCUUUUUUUGUGUGGUACCCUAUGUGUUUUGAAGAUUGAAGGAUGAUUACUCUCUGCAUCUGGUACUCCAUGGCACAGUGACAUGCAAUGUUUCAUAGAAAUAAUGAAUUUGUAGGUGCAAUAAUGAUUUGGGGAAAUUUGUUGGUAGCAGAUCUUCUCUAUCUGUUUUGUUUUAGACUUUACAUAUCACGUUUUAAGAUGCUGCUUAAAAAUCAUGUCACGGAAUAUAAACUCUAAUUCCUACAUUCCUUGUAAUAUUGUUAGGAAGAACAUAAAGUAAGAUAAGGGUAGGAUUUGGCUAAAAACUGCCAAAGAGAGAGCACUGGGUUUUCACCAUAGAUACAGGGUGACCUAAUAAUCCAUUAUAAAAAGUGCAGCAAAGGAUAGCAGCCAAGGACAUAGGAGAAAUGUAUGUGAUAAAUAAUCAAGGCCAAUUAAUUGGCAUCUUACUUUGCAGUUAAUGCCACAUUAAUUAAAAAAAAGUAGUAGACAUGGAAAUUGGUUCUUUUGUGUAUUUUGUACAAUCCCAAACACUCCAAAAUCCAGUUUAACACUCCUCCAGUUUGGUUCCCUUUGCAAUCAAAACCUACUGCAAAAUUAGAAUUUUGGGGGUGGUAUAUUUUGGGGGGCCAGCAGAUAGGGUAUGAUUAAAAGGGAGAAAGAAAUGACACCAAGAUACCCCUAGUUUUGCCUUUGUCACCAUCAGUUAAGGAUUCUCUUUACUAGUCAGACUUCACUUUGGUGCAGAAUUACAUGGAAUUUUAUUCCCAAUCCUAGAGUUUACCAGAAGCAAUAAUCUAUUGCCUCUUGUCUUGUUUGAGUUCCCCAAAACCCACUUGGACUAUGUGUUUAAUAGCGGCUCCAGAAACCGCUUUUCAAUGCCAGGCUGAUUUCCCUUUUUCUGGGGUGGUAUUUGUGCUCCAUUAAAUGCUCAAUAAUAGUGAUAACAAGAAUAACACAUGGUAUUUUAAUAGGCUGUAAAGAUCUUCAUUUAAGGAAUUUCAGCCUGAUAGAAAACACAGCAGAAGGUCCUGAAAUGGUCAGGCAAUGCCAGAACCAAAUUCCCUCAUAGAUGAGAUUCCUCCCAAUUGGGAUAGAAGAAAAAGACAUUUUUCCUCUUUCUUGUAUAAUCCAGUGAAGUGGACAGUAGCCAUGGUGCAAAGGAUGUAAUCUUCAGACAUACAGUGGUACAAGGGAAAGGAUGUUGAGUGCUGGAGCAAGAGUGUUGAUUCAAUAGUUAAGGGUUUAGUAGUAAGUAUACAGUGAAUUGGUAAGGCCUAAGAAUUAUGUCCUCUGAGGUAAAGCAAAUGAAGGAGGUGGAAAAUAACAGAACCAAAAAAAAAAAAAAAAGCUUGCAGAAAAGAGAAUGGUGGAGAGGGAAAAGAGGGAAAAAGUAAAAAUAUCUAGAGGGCACAAAAUGCUUUGGAGACCCGAAGGAAUACUAACCCCUACAUUUUCUAAGCUUUGCAUGGGGUGUUUUCCUUGCAACUCCCAUUAAAGUCAAUGGGAAUCAUGUGGCUAAAACCCUGUGUAACUCUUUGACAAUUUACUUCCUGGUGUCUGGAAAAGAGUAUUGCCUACUAAGGGCAAUUUACUCAUUUUAGUUUGUGCCUUCCAUACAAAGAUGAAGUUGAUAGCACAUAGCAGGAGGAAAAGAGAGACUACAUUUAAGAUUUUGUUAUUGCCAAAGAAAUCAUCAUUGAAAUAUGUCGCCUCAACUCUCACCUUGUUUAGCAACAACAAUAAACAGAGAAAAGCAAUCCAGUGAAAAGAAUAUGAAAAGAAGUGUAGACUUGAUUACAAGGGGGAAAAAAUGGUGAUUGCUAGCAUGUGAUUUUUUUUUUCCCAUUUUAAAUCCUCAAGCUCUGAACACAAUUGCAGGAUAAUAAGAAGACAGGACAAUUCUUAAGGCACUAAAUUGAAUCUCCUGAUUACUUCUUUUUCCCCCUAAUGCUACAAGUUGUACAUAUGCAAAUACAGCUAUAGUAUCCUUAAGAAAAUCUUUAUUAAUACAAUAUACAGAGGGAUUUAUUACAGCUUCCAGUGAUAGGUACAAAUAUAGAUGAUAUGACAGAUGUCUAUCCUGCAGUAAGCAAUAACUUUGCAUAAAUGCACCACAUCCUUUAUAUAAUGCUAUUUUUGAGAGCUAUGGAAUGUGCAUGUAAAAAAGUGCAUGCUAUUUCCAGAAGCUGUCAUAAACUUUGAAUCUAGCAAACACUGGCCUUGAGUUUUUACUGUUAGGCAUUGCAUCCUUCUAUCAACUGAAAGGCUUUAACUUUGGCAAUACUGUUAUCACUGUGCUUGAUAUGAAACAUGGGAAUAUUUAUGCAUAUAAAUGCAGUUAUAUGAUCAAUAGCUAUGCCUUCUAGAAAAUAUAGAUUUUCUCUACCAUAAUUUUGUUUUGUGGUGUCCC
Molecule: long non-coding RNA, 3539 nt
Organism: Dromiciops gliroides (monito del monte)
Lineage: Eukaryota; Metazoa; Chordata; Mammalia; Microbiotheria; Microbiotheriidae
Exons: 4
Source: RefSeq, a predicted model, not a curated record